RNAcentral lists this ribosomal RNA (497 nucleotides) under uncultured bacterium. RNAcentral describes it as "partial 16S ribosomal RNA". It matches the Rfam family "Bacterial small subunit ribosomal RNA", at positions 28 to 507 of the family's 1533-position model. The record is from RNAcentral.
GAUGAACGCUGGCGGCGUGCCUAAUACAUGCGAGUCGAGCGAACAGAUGAGGAGCUUGCUCCUCUGACGUUAGCGGCGGACGGGUGAGUAACACGUGGAUAACCUACCUAUAAGACUGGGAUAACUUCGGGAAACCGGAGCUAGUACCGGAUAAUAUAUUGAACCGCAUGGUUCAAUAGUGAAAGACGGUUUUGCUGUCACUUAUAGAUGGAUCCGCGCCGCAUUAGCUAGUUGGUAAGGUAACGGCUUACCAAGGCAACGAUGCGUAGCCGACCUGAGAGGGUGAUCGGCCACACUGGAACUGAGACACGGUCCAGACUCCUACGGGAGGCAGCAGUAGGGAAUCUUCCGCAAUGGGCGAAAGCCUGACGGAGCAACGCCGCGUGAGUGAUGAAGGUCUUCGGAUCGUAAAACUCUGUUAUUAGGGAAGAACAAAUGUGUAAGUAACUAUGCACGUCUUGACGGUACCUAAUCAGAAAGCCACGGCUAACUACGUG